AGAGGCAAAAGAAAAAUACAGAUGAAUCUGAUUAUGGGAACGCCAGCCUCAAGCCCUGUCCUACCUGUGACACAUCCACAUCCAGCUCUCCUGUGUAUGAGAUACUGCAGCCUUAAGGAAACAUCACUAAGAGAAUCAUCACUGAGAAAUCAAACUUGCAGCUGUAUCCCAAUGCAGUCAGAAGAGUGAGAGAUAUAGAGGGGAAGAGAGAUGCAUGAUCACAUGUAGAGUACACAAGUAUUGUUUCCUUCAAAAGAAAAGCUUUUCAGUGUUUUACAUUAAUAAUUAAUGCAAAA
Non-coding RNA from Electrophorus electricus (electric eel), 296 nucleotides. NCBI's taxonomy places the organism in Eukaryota, Metazoa, Chordata, Actinopteri, Gymnotiformes, Gymnotidae. The record is from RefSeq and is a predicted model, not a curated record.